AGUGAACGCUGGCGGUAGGCCUAACACAUGCAAGUCGAACGGCAGCACAGUAAGAGCUUGCUCUUACGGGUGGCGAGUGGCGGACGGGUGAGGAAUACAUCGGAAUCUACUUUUUCGUGGGGGAUAACGUAGGGAAACUUACGCUAAUACCGCAUACGACCUACGGGUGAAAGCAGGGGAUCUUCGGACCUUGCGCGAUUGAAUGAGCCGAUGUCGGAUUGGCUAGUUGGCGGGGUAAAGGCCCACCAAGGCGACGAUCCUUAGCUGGUCUGAGAGGAUGAUUAGCCACACUGGAACUGAGACACGGUCCAGACUCCUACGGGAGGCAGCAGUGGGGAAUAUUGGACAAUGGGCGCAAGCCUGAUCCAGCCAUACCGCGUGGGUGAAGAAGGCCUUCGGGUUGUAAAGCCCUUUUGUUGGGAAAGAAAAGCAGCAGGUUAAUACCCCGCUGUUCUGACGGUACCCAAAGAAUAAGCACCGGCUAACUUCGUG
RNAcentral lists this ribosomal RNA (492 nucleotides) under uncultured bacterium. Its description in RNAcentral is "partial 16S ribosomal RNA". It matches the Rfam family "Bacterial small subunit ribosomal RNA", at positions 29 to 507 of the family's 1533-position model. The record is from RNAcentral.